ACCCUUACGAUCACCGAAGUUAAACAACGUUACGCCUGGUCAGUAUCUGGAUGGGUGACCACUUGGAAAUACCAGGCGCUGUUA
Acanthosepion pharaonis is the source of this 84-nucleotide non-coding RNA. Lineage: Eukaryota; Metazoa; Mollusca; Cephalopoda; Sepiida; Sepiidae. The record is from the annotation of a GenBank genome assembly.